This 1059-nucleotide unclassified non-coding RNA is filed under the name Venturia canescens. Its description in RNAcentral is "cytochrome c oxidase subunit 4 isoform 1, mitochondrial-like, transcript variant X1". The record is from RNAcentral. Lineage: Eukaryota; Metazoa; Arthropoda; Insecta; Hymenoptera; Ichneumonidae.
ACGAGACGAGCUGCCGAGGUCAGUUUUCACCCACGCCCCGAAACGACGCUCGACUACGCUUACCGAUCCAACCGCCAAACACCCGACGAACCGGACGUCGUCAUCCUCGAGGCACUUCGGGAGAAGGAGCGAGGCGACUGGCGGAGAUUGUCCAUGGAAGAGAAGAAGAUUCUUUACAGAGCGAGCUUCUGUUCGACCUUCGCCGAAAUGGAUGCACCUACCGGCCAAUGGAAAAGCAUUUUGGCCAAUUGUAUAUUUCUCGUGUGCGCGGCCCUCUGGCUGUGGAUUUACGUUCGGAUUUUUGGUACUUUAUAUACCCCCUUUUUUCCUUCUGUUCCGUUCUUCGUGAAAUUCCAAUACGAUUCUCCCGGGGAAUGAUCAAUUUCGAGUCGCCGAGACGAAUUUUUGAUAAAAUAAAAAUUGGCGAAAAAUUCGGAGGAUAAAAAUGGGUUUUUGGGGAAUUUUGGUACGAAUGAAAAGAAAAUGUUGAUCGGGAGAAUCGCGAGGAACGAAUGAUGCUCGGGACAAACGAUUCGCGCAUUUGAGCUCGCCGAUAGGAUCGGCUGUGAUUCGUAAGCGACUCAUGAUUUACCCGCUUCAUUGACCGAUUUGCCGUUAGCAGUGACCUGGAUUUCGUGGACGCGAGUCGCGUGUCACGACUCGUCGUGCCCCGGUGUGCGACCAACGUUUCUCUCUCCUCUCAGGGGGCUCUUCGUUAUUUCUCCCAACGACGAGCCUCGCUAACUCGCACGUUAUAUGUUUUGUCAAAAUGUGAAUUUUAAAGGAGAACAAAAAUUUUAUUUCCCGCAGUCAAUACAGAGGCCCCGAAAAGUUUUUCAGAGGAGAGUCGAGCGGCGCAGUACUGGCGUCAAGAGGCGAUUAACAAUGAGCCGUUCAGCGGAAAUUACAAGCCAAAGAAUGCAGACAAAUACAAGCCGUUUGCAGAAGAGAACGAACCUGGGGAAAGGGCGAAAAAAAAUGACGAAAAUGACUGAAAAAACGACGCUGAAAGGAAUGAAAAAUUGUGCAAUUAGAGAAAUGUACGAUGAAAUAAAAAUA